UGAAAAGGUCGUCGGGAGUGCAGGACAUCCUAAAUCCUCCAGAUUUCCUUUCAUAUACAGUUACUCUCUCUUUCUCCGUCACUUACUAGCAUGACCAGCCGUCCUUUCUCCGCAAACAUAACGAGUUUGAAUCUGGCUGUCAUCCAUGAGCUGUAACAGCCGGGGCUGUGAACACAUUGCAGUGCCCGAGGGCAGUAGCGUGGACAACCUGUGCUCUCCUCACAUGAGUGAGCGGCGAGCGGUCCAGGGAUCCGAGCUGGCACGCUCAGCCAAACAGGUGUAUGAUAGGAAGACGCGGGCUGUGAAGGGUGAAUUUUCUUACGUGGAGAAAAACACCGGGAGCAAAAGGUUACCUUCUCCACAGAAACAUGUAAACAGACUGAAAGGUCAUCAAACAGAGCCCCUUGCCGCAGCACCCAUCUCUAGCAGAGGAGGAAUUUAAAAAAGAAAGGUUGUGAGGAAAAGUGGCUGGCCCUUUCAAAAGCACAGAACAGGACAAGAAGGUUUUUCAGACCCAGUCUUUAUUCAUCUUCUCACUGAAAAGAGUGACCAGGACAUUCUUCCAAAAUUCACCAUUUGUGUUCUGCAGAAGCAAGUCUUACAGAUUCAGAAGAACAUGAAGGAAACAAAGUAAAUGAUGACAGAAUUUUCAUUUUUGGUUGAACUGUCCCUUUAAGGGUAAAAUGUGAGCAGCAUGAACAUUUUUUUUAAAGCAUCUACAGUACUGUCCACUGAAACUCUUAAGAUACAUUUGGUUUGAGCAAUUGUGCUGUGUCAAUAUUUGCCAUUGUGAUUACUCAUGCAAAAGUGUGUUAUGCUUUAUGUAAGAUUAAUACUAAAAUCAAUCACUCACAGAGCACUUUAUGUGAACCAGUCCAUUUAGUGAGAGAGGGGGAGAAAAAAAAGAGAGAGGGAGAGAAGUGAGUAAAUAUAUAAAUAAAAAAGCACCUC
Long non-coding RNA from Cyprinus carpio carpio, 951 nucleotides. NCBI's taxonomy places the organism in Eukaryota, Metazoa, Chordata, Actinopteri, Cypriniformes, Cyprinidae. The record is from Ensembl.